GACGAACGCUGGCGGCGUGCCUAAUACAUGCAAGUUGAGCGCUGAAGGUUGGUACUUGUACCCACUGGAUGAGCAGCGAACGGGUGAGUAACGCGUGGGGAAUCUGCCUUUGAGCGGGGGACAACAUUUGGAAACGAAUGCUAAUACCGCAUAAAAACUUUAAACACAAGUUUUAAGUUUGAAAGAUGCAAUUGCAUCACUCAAAGAUGAUCCCGCGUUGUAUUAGCUAGUUGGUGAGGUAAAGGCUCACCAAGGCGAUGAUACAUAGCCGACCUGAGAGGGUGAACGGCCACAAUGGGACUGAGACACGGCCCAAACUCCUACGGGAGGCAGCAGGAGGGAAUCUUCGGAAAUGGAGGGAAGGCUGAACGAGCAACGCCGCGGGAGGGAAGAAGGGUUUCGGAUCGUAAAACUCUGUUGGUAGAGAAGAAAGUUGGUGAGAGUGGAAAGCUCAUCAAGUGACGGUAACUACACAGAAAGGGACGGCUAACUACGUG
RNAcentral lists this ribosomal RNA (497 nucleotides) under uncultured bacterium. RNAcentral's name for it is "partial 16S ribosomal RNA". It matches the Rfam family "Bacterial small subunit ribosomal RNA", at positions 28 to 507 of the family's 1533-position model. The record is from RNAcentral.